AGCUCACAGACGAUAACUAGAAGAUAAAUAGAUAAAUGACUACUUUUCUAUAAAAAUGUUGUGUAGACUUAAAUUAUUUAAACUAUGAAUAUUUGGUGAAAUGUAAUUGAAAUGAUUGAAUAAGCAUUUUAUUUUAUCUUUGUGAGAGUGGAAGAGGGGCUUUACCAUUGAUUCUGUUUAUUUACCACCUACAGGACAAUUCAUAUUUAUAAUUGUCUCAAGUCGCUUUUGUUCAGCUAUAUUUUUUUGAGUAACAUACAUCUUGCUUCUAAAAUUUCAAACUUAAUUGUAUAAGAUUAUUCAUUAGCAUAAGCUGCUACAACUAUAGUACCUUUCUUUUUUAAAAAAAAAUCUGUAAUUUUUUGAUUAACCUUACCAGAGGAUUAUUUUAUUAAUUUGUUCCAAGAAAUGUUUGUCUUUGCUGAACUUUGUUUGCUAUCUUUCUAUGUUCCAACCUUUAUUUCAUACUUUUUUAACUAGGACUGAACUCCUUUAAGUUUUAGGUUUAUUCUGGGGUUCUUGCUAAGAUUUCCUAGCUUGCAUUUCAGUUCACUAGUUUUGAGCUUUAUUACGUUCUAAUGUAGACAUAUUUUAGUCUAUUGUUUCCCUUAAUACAGCUUGUGGUGGGCAGAAGAUGCCCACAUAUUAAUUUCUGAUACCUGCGAAUAUAUUAUCUUAUGUGACAAAGAUACUUCAUAAGUAUGGUUAAAGUCAUUGAUAUAUGAAUAUUAUUUUGUAAUCUGGAUUGACCCAAUAUAAUCAUAAAGGUGCUACAGUGAAAAACACAAACAGAAACUCAAAAAUUUGAACAUGAUCUAUUUCUGGCUUUGAAGAUGAAGAAACGAGCCACAAAUCAAAGAAACCAAGUUGUCACUAGUUACUGGAAAUGUUCAGGCAAAAUGUUCUCUCCAAAAUCCUCCAUAAGAAAUGUAGCCUUUCUUGUAUCUUGAUUUGAUCCCAGCAAAGCCUAUAUCAGAUUUCUGACUUCCAGAACUGAGAUAAUAAUUUUGUGUUGUUUAAGCCACUAGGUUAAUGCAGUUUGUUACAGCAGCAAUAGUAACCUAAUACAGUGCUUUUUUUCUUUUUUUUUCCUGCAACAUCCUACUAUCACCUGGGUUAUCACCUAUUAUUAGAGGUCAAAUUUUCCUGUUUACUUUAAUGCCAAAAUUAAGGUUUUUCUAAUUUAGUUAGAUUUUGGUUAAAUAAUAGGCUCUGUAUUAGAGUAUUCCUAAUGGAAUAUGUGGCCUAAUAUUUGACCAUUUAUUAUAAAUUUCAUGUUUCAUCUACUGAAAAAGUGUAUAGAAUAUUGCGCUCUAAAAUAAGUAGUAUACAAUUUUCUAUAAACUGGAAGUAUAUCAAGUUGGUAAUAUUUUCAAUUUGAUUUGCUAUAUUUUUGUUAACCUACUUAUAUAUUUUUAAAAUUUGGCUUUCUAUUCAACCAAUUGCUAAAAGAGUUUAUCAAACUCUUUUCACAUAACAUUUUUGUAUGUUAUUUUUGUAUUUGUGUUUCAGCUCUGUUUUCAAACUUUGUUAAUCUGUAUAUACACAUUUAGAACUGAUGUAUCUUCCUAAUCAAUUACAAUUUUAAACAUGUGCCAUCUUUAUUUUUCUCUUACUGUUUCCCCCAUUAUAAUUCCUCAUUACAAUUUUUCCUCUUUAGUCAUUUCAGUGAUAAAUUUUGAAAGUUGUUCUUUAUAUUUCAGUAUCUAAUUUGUGGUUUUAUAUAGAAUGACCAUGCUGGGUAGGUAUUGUUCUGUUUUGAUGAAAUGAAAACUACAAUUUGUGACUUGAAUUCUGACAAUCAAAUUUCACUUUAUAUCUCCACACUUAUCUAUCGUUAAAAUAAAAAAAAAAUACUAGUUAAUAUUGUACCCACCAAAAUCUUGAAAGAAUUUGAAAAGGACUUUAUGAGUAAGAUGAUGAUUGCCUACGUUUUCCCUGCUUAAAAGAUAACACAAGUCUAUGAUAACUCAAGUCUAUGAUUCAAAAAUGACUAUGUAGAAAGGAUUUUACUUCCAUUUUAAAUUAAUACAGUAAAAUAAAACAAAAAUAAUUUACUUGAUUUCCUUGACAAAAUAAGGAAUGCUUUGCUGUUUCUAGAGCACGCCAUAAUGCAAGCAAGGAUCAGUUUGCGGUGUUGAUAAAGCACUUGUGUAUACAUUUACUAGGGUGAAACAGAACCAUAGUAAAUAGCAGUGAAACUGUUUAUUUAGAAACUGUGGUGUUAAUUUGCAGUAGGUCUCAAUGUGUCCAGGGAAAUCUUACUUUCUAGUAGAAUCAAAGCCUAGAUUUGGGUGAGAAACAUAGAUAAAAUGUUGAAAAUUUGUCAUUAUGGUAUUUUAUACAAGUCAAAUGAAUUGAAGGUUAUAGAUGUUGGUGUCACAAAAGAAGGAAUAGAUCAGAAAAAAAUAUUUAAAAUACCAAAAAGGAAUUGUACAAAUCCUGGUUAAUGUCUAUAAGGUACAAAACUAUUAACCAGAAAUGUGUAUUCAGGAUUCAGAAACAAUGUCAUAAAAUCAAAUUGAAAGGCCAGAUACCCAUAUAGUUAUAUCUCUAGUCAGUGUGUAAUAUUAAAUCCAUAGGAGGCAACUUCCACUUGGGUCAAAGUACAAAACUUGCUGUAUGGUCUUAGCAAUUUGCUCAUAUGAGUAGUCACAAAAUUAUGCAUCUUUCACGAAAAUCUUUGCCAAAUGUUUUGGUAAUUUCUAGCAUACAAAAAUACAUAGACUUUUCUUGAAAAGCAGCAUCAUAAAUGAAAGAUAUAGAGAUGGAACAAACAAAAGAAACUCUCAUUGAUAUUAAUGAAACUUUUCUGACUCUACCAUUAGCAAUCUGGCUCAUACAGAUAGGAAAAAGAAAUAAGAGACAGUGAGAAGCACUUUAGAAUUUAAUACUCAAGAUAUUUUUAUAAUGAUUUAAUUUUUUCCAUUAUAGCUGGUUAACAGUGUUCUGUCAAUUUUCUACUGUACAGCAUGGUAACCCAGUUACACAUACAUGUAUACAUUCUUUUUUCUUAUAUUAUCAUGUUCCAUCAUAAGUGACUAGACAUAGUUCCCUGUGCUACACAGCAGGAUCUCAUUGCUUAUCCAUUCAAAAGGCAAUAGUUUGCAUCUAUUAACCCCAAAUUCCCAAACCCUCCCCCUCUUCCUUGGCAACCACAAGUCUGUACUCCAUGUCAAUGAUUUUCUUUUCUGUGGAAAGGUUCAUUUUUGCCGUAUGUUAGAUUCCAGAUUCAAGUGAUAUCAUAUGGUAUUUGUCUUUCUCUUUCUGACUUCACUUAGUAUAAGAGUCUCUAGUUCCAUCCAUGUUGCUGCAAGUGGCAUUAUUUUGCUUUUUUUAUGGCUGAGUAGUAUUCCAUUGUGUAUAUAUAUCAUAUCUUCUUAAUCCAAUAAUCUGUUGAUGGACAUUUGAGUUGUUUUCAUGUCUUGGAUAUUGUGAAUAAUGCUGCAAUGAACAUGUAGGUGCAUGUGUCUUCUUCAAGGAAAGUUUUGUCUGGAUAUACGUCCAAGAGUGGGAUUGCUGGGUCAUAUGAGCACCUGAGUAUAAACCCAGGACAUGUCCAUAGUGAUCAACGCAGGCACAUCUCUGACUGAGGUUGCUAUGGGUCUCUGUGACAUUAAUCAUAGAGGAUCCCUUCAUAACCCUGGUGUGCAGUCCUCUGGAAACUUGCUGACAAAGGCCUGCAAUCGCCUGAGGAUGUUACUAUUCUCAACUUGCAGUUGUAACAGAAAACAAAGUAAAAUGCUAUAUAGCAUAAUGGGUUCAUCUAUGUCUUGGAAAUCAUACUGCAACCAUCAUUCUAAUGGUAAAUAAUUUUACUUUUAGUUAUGCAAACUGAAUAUUUUCUUAACUGAAAAUAAAAUCUUUUACGGCAAGAAAAGUGCAUUACUUUUAGAGACAGAGAGCUGAAAUAAAAAAUCUUACUCAGGUAUCUUUUAGAAAAUUGACCUUAGGCAAGUUGGUUGACUUAUGAUUCUCAGUUUAUGUAUCUGUGAAGUGGGCAUAAUUUAUCUCACACAUUUAGCAUAGCUUGGAUAAUAUACUGAGUCUUUACAAAUGGUACCAGCUAGUGUUAUUACCCCUAGACUCUACUUUUGGCAAUUUAUGCAGAACAGUGAGAUCAAUUUUCUUCAAUUGUAAAACCAUAUUAUUAGGCAGAAGCCUAUACUUUAGAAACACAGAUUGCAAUUGAGUUUGCAAGUUAUACUGUAAAUUGGGUUGGCAUAAGAUACCACUCUCUGUUGUUCUCCUUACAUGAAAUGGAUUCGUUUCUAUAUUCAGACAGAAGCAAGCAAGGGUAGUGUCCAUUUAUGAGGCAUUAAUAAAGAAUUUGGGCAUUGAAAUAUUAAGUCAAGAAGUUGAAACUGGAAGUUCUCAAAAAUAACAUGUGGUACGGAAAAGAUAUAACCAGAUUGAGCAGAGUCAAAGCUCAGGCACAAAGCAGAAAUAUGGUGAUAGGUAGGGAGAUACUAAUGGAAAAUAUGCUUAAAUAAAACUUAUGGUCUAGGAGUUCCCAUUGUGGCUCAGUGGUUAACAAACCCACUAUCAUCCAUGAGGAUGGCCUCGCUCAGUGGGUUAAGGAUCUGGCGUUGCUGUGAGCUGUUGUGUAGUUCGCAGACACAGCUCAGAUCACGGCUUGCUGUCGUUCUGGCAUAGGCCGGCAGCUACAGCUUCAAUUCAUCCCCUAGCCUGGGAGCCUCCAUAUGCUGCCAGAGCGGCCCCAAAAGACAAAAAGACAAAAUAAACAAACAAACAAACACAAGACUUAUGGACCAAAGGCUUAUGAAAAAAAUGUUAAGCAUUAUAAAACAAUGUGAAGUUUUCCUUAAACUUGUGAUCCAUCUUCCCUUUCCUCCUUUCCUUCUUUUCAUUAUGCCAAUAAGAGGUAGUUAAUUAUUUUAGAUGUUCAUUGAAGAUUCCUUUAUUUUUUUAUUAGGAAAAUCCUCAAACAUACAGUAAAGGGAAAAUAUGAAGAAAAUAUUAAAAAUAAUAUUUCAUAAUAGUGGCAGCAAAUGUUAGCUAGCUAUGCUUCAUUGAUUUUUUCUAAAUAAUUUUAAAUACAAUCACAGACAUCUUGAUAUUUCACCCUCAAAUAUUUCAGUUAUACACUUCUAAAAAAUGAAGUGUAGUUUCAUGAUGACAUUUUAACACUAAUGUCCUAGUCCCGUCUAAUUCAUAGCCCAUAUUUGAAUAUCUGCUAUUUUUUCUAAAGUAUAUUUUGUACAUUUUUUUGUUUAAAACAAGAUAGAAGCAAGAAUUAUAAAUUACAUUUCACUGCUAGACUCUUAAAUCUCUCUCCACUUAUUCUGUAAUGUUGAAUUGUUAAAAAAAGUAGUCCAGUUGGCAUGUGGCUGUUGACAUAAUAAUGUUUAAAUAUGUUUGACACUCAUACGUCACAGGCGAUGCUGUGCAUUUGUAAGAUUUCAAAUCAAAAGGCGUCCAAAGGGCUGGUCCUCCCACCAUAAUGUUGCCAUGAGUAAUCAUCUGGUCAACACAUGGACAUCCAGAUCCCUGUCAAACCUUGCCCAUCACAAAACAAUAUAUGAGCUGAUAGGUAGCAUGUUCUCUCUCAUUCUCCAUUAAUCCUUUACCCAAGGAUUUCAGUACGUGUGGAUCAUCUAUUUCUCCAGAGGCUAAAAGUUAAUAUCCGACCCUGCUGUUCAAUAAGCAUUCAUUAUCUGUUUUAUUACAUAAAGAAAAACCCUCAGUGUCCUCUUAUGGUGCAGCGGGUUAAGGAUCUGUCGUUGUCCCUGCAGCAGUUUGUGUUGCUGCUUGGCCACGGGUUCCAUCCCUGGCCCAGGAACUUUUAGCAGGUAUGGCCAAAAAGUGAAGAAAAAAAAAAAAA
RNAcentral lists this long non-coding RNA (5845 nucleotides) under Sus scrofa (pig). RNAcentral's name for it is "lncRNA (ENSSSCG00035063802.1)". Lineage: Eukaryota; Metazoa; Chordata; Mammalia; Artiodactyla; Suidae. The record is from RNAcentral.